Molecule: long non-coding RNA, 1317 nt
Filed under: Glycine max (soybean)
Lineage: Eukaryota; Viridiplantae; Streptophyta; Magnoliopsida; Fabales; Fabaceae
Description: long non-coding RNA (GMAX_LNC004568)
Source: RNAcentral
GGUCAACGGAUUUUGCUUCUAGGAAUGUAUCACCCAAUUAUUCCAAAAUUCCAAUAAUUGGCCCAGAGUAGAGCAACAUAUUAAAAAGAAAUAAAGCUUAUAUAUUAUAAUUGAUUGUGCUAAAUGAAGAGAAAUAAAAUAUCUUAUAAACAAAAAAAACUACACUCACCACUUUCCCAUAUCUACCAGAACCAUUCUUAUACUCACGAAUAUACUCUCAUUGAUCAUCUUGUUUCCAUUUUAAUCCUGAAAGAAAAAUAAAAGUUCAAUAAGACUUCUAUGUUCUAAGGCACCAAAUCUAAUCUAAUGUUAUGAAACAAAAUAAUCCUUUGCAUUGAAGCACCAGAUCUUACCUUAUAUAUAGUAGCAUCUAAAAAUUUGUAUUAUUGAUAUAUAAUUGUCUUAAAAACAUAUUUUCUUUUUUUAAAAAAUAUAGUAGGGCAUAAAACCAAACUAAAACGACAUAAAACAUAACUUAAAUCAGGGCAGAGAGAAGGAAGGACUUGUAAGGGCAUGGUUCCUCGCCCAAUUUUUUAAGUGUACUUAAAUUAUUAUAAAAAUGUUUUGAUGACCUUCCUAAAAUUUAUAAAAUAAAAAAAAUAAAAAUUGUUGCUUCUUCUAGAACAAAAUUCUUCAUGUUUAAGGUUAACGCAUUUUUUUUAAAGGCAAGAUGAAUGCAUAUAACUUAAAAAAUAUUUAAUACUACUCACAAAUUAUAUAUUUAGUUUAAAAUAUUCUUAUUUAAUGUCUAUGAUGGAAGUAACUAUGAAAUCUAUGCAUGUAUGUUGAAUAGGAAUAUAUAUGGAAGAAAUAAUUAAUUAAUUAGACUUAGAAUCCCUUAAACACGAAUAGUUUUGAAACGAAAAAAAAAAAAAGAAGCUAAAUUAUCAAGUUCUGAAGAAAGUAUGUUAGCUUAAACUAUAGAUAUAAAAAAGAAUGAUCUGAGAAAAAUAAAAGGGAUAAAGAAAAAAAAAAGUAAGUAUUAAUGUAAUGAUUAUAAUAUUGAGGUGUUCCUAGAUAAUUAUUUAAAAUUAUUUUACUCAUUUAUUUAUUUUUUCUCAUAUAAUUUUACUUUUAUAUAAAUAAAAAACUGGAUAUCUACACUAUAUUAAUUUUUUUAAUAUUUUAUACAUGCGAAAAAUUAUAUAUCUUUAUGUUUUUUUCCUCAAACCGAAUUUUUUGCCUCUCUGCUCUGAGUUAAAUCUAUCAUCAAAACAUAUUGUAUCUAAUUUCUAAAAUCUCACCGAGUAAUAUAGUAGAUGGGAGGGUUACACCCUGGCUCAGUUCAUAACAUUGGUUGACUUGACAAUUGGCAAU